Molecule: ribosomal RNA, 1081 nt
Filed under: glacial ice bacterium G1
Lineage: Bacteria
Description: bacterial SSU rRNA
Rfam family: Bacterial small subunit ribosomal RNA
Source: RNAcentral
AGUCGAACGAUGAAGCCCAGCUUGCUGGGUGGAUUAGUGGCGAACGGGUGAGUAACACGUGAGCAACCUGCCCCUGACUCUGGGAUAAGCGCUGGAAACGGCGUCUAAUACUGGAUACGAGACGUGAUCGCAUGGUCAACGUUUGGAAAGAUUUAUUGGUUGGGGAUGGGCUCGCGGCCUAUCAGCUUGUUGGUGAGGUAAUGGCUCACCAAGGCGUCGACGGGUAGCCGGCCUGAGAGGGUGACCGGCCACACUGGGACUGAGACACGGCCCAGACUCCUACGGGAGGCAGCAGUGGGGAAUAUUGCACAAUGGGCGCAAGCCUGAUGCAGCAACGCCGCGUGAGGGAUGACGGCCUUCGGGUUGUAAACCUCUUUUAGCAGGGAAGAAGCGAAAGUGACGGUACCUGCAGAAAAAGCACCGGCUAACUACGUGCCAGCAGCCGCGGUAAUACGUAGGGUGCAAGCGUUAUCCGGAAUUAUUGGGCGUAAAGAGCUCGUAGGCGGUUUGUCGCGUCUGCUGUGAAAUCUGGGGGCUCAACCCCCAGCCUGCAGUGGGUACGGGCAGACUAGAGUGCGGUAGGGGAGAUUGGAAUUCCUGGUGUAGCGGUGGAAUGCGCAGAUAUCAGGAGGAACACCGAUGGCGAAGGCAGAUCUCUGGGCCGUAACUGACGCUGAGGAGCGAAAGGGUGGGGAGCAAACAGGCUUAGAUACCCUGGUAGUCCACCCCGUAAACGUUGGGAACUAGUUGUGGGGUCCAUUCCACGGAUUCCGUGACGCAGCUAACGCAUUAAGUUCCCCGCCUGGGGAGUACGGCCGCAAGGCUAAAACUCAAAGGAAUUGACGGGGACCCGCACAAGCGGCGGAGCAUGCGGAUUAAUUCGAUGCAACGCGAAGAACCUUACCAAGGCUUGACAUAUACGAGAACGGGCCAGAAAUGGUCAACUCUUUGGACACUCGUAAACAGGUGGUGCAUGGUUGUCGUCAGCUCGUGUCGUGAGAUGUUGGGUUAAGUCCCGCAACGAGCGCAACCCUCGUUCUAUGUUGCCAGCACGUAAUGGUGGGAACUCAUGGGAUACUGC